Molecule: small RNA, 1127 nt
Filed under: Pan troglodytes (chimpanzee)
Lineage: Eukaryota; Metazoa; Chordata; Mammalia; Primates; Hominidae
Description: retained intron
Source: RNAcentral
GGCCUCCUCCCCAUGCUGUGCUCAGCUCCAGGGGCUCAGGGCAGCAUGCCCCUCUCUCCCCAGGACUUCCUGCGCUGUGUCACCGCGGCCCUCAUCUACUUUGCUAUCUCCAUCACGGCCGUCGCCAAGUACUCGGAUGGGGCUUCCAAAGCCGCUGGGGUGUUUGGCUUCUUUGCUACCAUCGUGUUUGCAAUUGAUUUCUACCUGAUCUUUAACGACGUGGCCAAAUUCCUCAAACAAGGGGACUCUGCAGAUGAGACCACAGCCCACAAGACAGAAGAAGAGAAUUCCGACUCGGACUCUGACUGAAGGCCUGGCGGGUGCCUUGGCAACCUGAGCCACACAGGCCUCCACCCCUGCGCCUCACAGGGGUCGCUGGCGUUGGAGCGGAGGCCUGGACUUCUGAGUUGCAGAGGGGGCUGCGGACACAGCAGGCCCCCUACAGCCUCAGGUUCUGCCUGAGCCCAGCCUACCAGGCUUGCCCCUCAGCUCAGCACUGUUGACCACGCUGCGUAUGAGGGCAUCUUGGGUAUCCCACUCCUUCUCCCCAUUUCUGUCCCACAGGCCUUCAGCCCUUUAACCUCUCUGCCAAAAACCAGCACAAGGAGACAAAGCAGAGCCUUGUCUGUAUCUGGGCAGCAGGUGUUCCAUGCUGCUAGGUGGCGGGGGUCGGGGGUCUUCUGUUUCACUAACAGGAACAAAGACAGAAACCAUGACAGGGCUGCCCCGCCAGGCCCCGGUGGGUUUGUCUGCACUUGGUGCUCCUGCCCACACCAGCCACUUUGGUGACAAUGACCCUUCCAAGAAUCUUUGGUUCAAGGGGCACCAGUUCCCUCUUCAUUCUUGAAGCAGGGAGAAAUUGACCUUUGCCUUGUCGCCCAGGAAGUGGGGCUCGGCACCCAUAACUAACACCUCCCACCCUUGGAAACCAUGUCUUCUGGGGGUGAGAUGACCAUUCUGGGUCUAAGACUGUUUCAAAGAAGAGCUCAUAGACUGACUGGUCCAGAAGACAGAGGGUACAACAGUGGCAUCACAGUGACAGUGUCAUGGGGAGCUGGGCGGGCCCAGCCAAACCCUCCUUCUUCCUAGAGCCCAGCCAGCAGGCAGGAGUUCCUGGACCCUCAGGA